This 159-nucleotide ribosomal RNA is filed under the name Fusarium merismoides var. merismoides. RNAcentral's name for it is "5.8S ribosomal RNA". It matches the Rfam family "5.8S ribosomal RNA". From Rfam's summary of the family: 5.8S ribosomal RNA (5.8S rRNA) is a component of the large subunit of the eukaryotic ribosome. It is transcribed by RNA polymerase I as part of the 45S precursor that also contains 18S and 28S rRNA. RNAcentral also lists the same sequence under 7 other names. The record is from RNAcentral. Lineage: Eukaryota; Fungi; Ascomycota; Sordariomycetes; Hypocreales; Nectriaceae.
AAAACUUUCAACAACGGAUCUCUUGGUUCUGGCAUCGAUGAAGAACGCAGCGAAAUGCGAUAAGUAAUGUGAAUUGCAGAAUUCCGUGAAUCAUCGAAUCUUUGAACGCACAUUGCGCCCGCCAGUAUUCUGGCGGGCAUGCCUGUUCGAGCGUCAUUU